CCCCCUCCAAUGAGAAGGGAGGCAGAGAGUGGGAAAAGUGGCAACUCGGGUACAAAGGAGCAAAGAACGGUGAUUCAUAAGGAGGGUGGGAGAGCCAGGCCUGCCUGCCUCCACUCCUGCCACAGUAUAGAUUCCACGCCUGGCACUUACUUGGCAGGUGAACCACGAGGGCACUGACUGGCAGUUAUAAAGAUUUCUGAACUUUGAGACAGCAAGAUUGAUGCUGCAGGAAAGCAAAGGCCUUGAACAAUCAGCUUUGGCCUCGGGCUACACUGUUAACAUCAUGCCUUUAUUCUGGGACACAGAUGGACAAUAAAAGUCCUCCAGGAUUAAAAAAGGUAAGUAAUUCCAACUGCCUCUUCCAUCUUUUUUAGAUGCUUCGUGUUGUUCUGUCUUCAGCCCCUUAACAGAGUCGAGACUGAUUAUUUACAUUUUAGUGUGAUUGAGUUCUAUAGACAAGCCCAGGCUUGCUGGGCUAGCAGCCAGCUUACUCCCAAGGCAUCCUGGUGCCGUGGAGUGUGUGUAACUAAAAUCCCCGGCUACAGAUUUCAAAAGUGUUGCUUCCAAUUCUUUACAGUUACAUUAGAUACAACAAUUUAUACAAGAAUGAAAUAGAUUUGUGGGUUACCCUGGAA
Molecule: non-coding RNA, 635 nt
Organism: Odocoileus virginianus texanus
Lineage: Eukaryota; Metazoa; Chordata; Mammalia; Artiodactyla; Cervidae
Source: RefSeq, a predicted model, not a curated record